GGGGAAGAGAAUGAACGUACCACAACAUUGAAUACUGAAUGAAUAGUUAUGACUGCAGACACUAUGGGGAAGAGAAUGAACGUACUACAACAUUGAAUACUGAAUGAAUAGUUAUGACUGCAGACGAGAUGGGGAAGAGAAUGAACGUACUACAACAUUGAAUACUGAAUGAAUAGUUAUGACUGCAGACGAGAUGGGGAAGAGAAUGAACGUACUACAACAUUAAAUACUGAAGGAAUAACGUAAAACUGUGAAUAUUUUAAACUAAUUUUUUCCUAUCUUUUCCAAGCGCCAGGUGGGAACAGGUAGACUCGGUACCAUCCAUUAACUAUCCUUGCAUUGACCUUAUCUCUUAAUACCCACGUUAGACAUCCGAGUACAUUAAAACUUGGUACGUAACACUGAAGCCAUAGCCUGUGCCAAUGUGGUCCGCUUUUCAUUGUAACCUAAAAAUCCCCUAUCACAUUAUUGCAUUACGGUAAAACACAAAUUAGAUACCACGGUCAAUGCCUACGUUAGACAUCCGGGUACAUUUAAAACUUGGUACGUAACACUGAAGCCAUAGCCUGUCCCAAUGUGGUCCGCUUUUCAUUGUUACCUAAAAAUCCCCUAUCACAUUAUUGCAUUACGGUAAAACACAAAUUAGAUACCACGGUCAAUGCCUACGUUAGACAUCCGGGUACAUUUAAAACUUGGUACGUAACACUGAAGCAAUAGCCUGUCCCAGUGUGGUCCGCUUUUCAUUGUAACCUAAAAAUCCCCUACCACAUUAUUGCUUUGAGGUGAAACUCAAAUUUGAUACCACGAAGACGAUCCCAAAGCACUCACUAUUAUGCAAACUUCACUCCGGCGCCGUCAGGAGAAAGCACCCCCACUCUCUGCUUUCCCUGACACACACGACACAUUUCCCGCUCAGCCAUCACAUCCCCGGAUAAUUACUCGUUCUCUCCCGCUUAUAGCUUUCCAUAUCACGUGUAGAGGGAAAGAGAGAGGGUUGGGGAGUGAGGGUGGGUGUAUGUUCUCCCACGCGGAUCUGGUUUUGUUGCCAGCGAAAGCAGAGAAAGUAUGAAAAAAGUCCAGCUUUCUCCACCGUGCAACUAAACUUUGAUUCGUCGCUUGAUAGUUGUGCCGGCGGUGGCGAUGACAUGAGCCCGCGACGGAGAGACGUGAGAUGAAGAAUGGGACGUGAGGGAGGGAGAGAGGGACGUGAGGCAGGGAGAGAUACGAGAGAGAGAAACGGAAGAUGAAGUGACGUUAAGGAAGGAAGGAAAUGUGAAGGACUUAAAGGAGGAAGGGAAGUCAGAGAUGGGGAGAUGAAAUGAAGAAACGAGAGGAAGGAAGAUAAAUGGAAUGAAAAAAAAUGCAAGAAACGAACAGACGAGGGAAGUAAAGAUGAAAAAAGAGAGAUAUAAACAAAAAUAACGAAAGAGAGAAAUUAGCACAAGAAAGAAAGAAAGAAGUAAGGAAGCGACAUGGAGAAGGGAGAAACGUGAGGAAGGAAGAGAAAUGGACUAGGAGAGAUUGGAAGAAGGAUUAGACAUGAGUGAUGAGAGAGAGGACGGACCUUUAGGAGGGGAAACUAUUACCUAAAAAUAUUUCUUAUGUAUACACGAACUAAAUCACGCGUUCAGUAUCUAACCCUUAUCAACACACCAAGAAGAGACAAAACAAACAUAACAGGAGAGUGAAAACAUGAGAAACUGCAUGAGGAAGAGUAAGAGGAAAAAGAAGAAGAGGAGGAAGAGGAGGACGAAAGGGAGGAAAAACACACACCAAAACAAGACAAAAACAAACGAACUGGGAGCUUGAAAAGACGAAUAACUGGAGAGAAGAGGAAGAGCAGAAGGAGGAGAAGCCGGAGGAACAAACAAACGAGGUCACGAGAGACAGGCUAACCAAGUAAUGAGAAAUCUAGGACGUUAUGAGCCCCGGAGGAACAGCACCGGACGGAGAGACGGGGCUUUAAGGGGAACUCCGUAUGAAUAUGGGGCGAGGGGGCGGGGCAAGGCGGCGGGGGGAGGGGAAGGGGGCUAUGUGCUGGGGGCUGGCGGGCGGUCGGCAACCCCAGAACGAGAGAGCCACGGGGAACGGCGCUUAAAGUUUCCCCAUCAACCUUGACCGUUCUGGAAAGGAGGGAGAGAGAGAGAGAGAAAACCGGCGGGGGUGGAGGUGGAGAGAGAGAGAGAGGGGGGGAAUGUGUGUGUGUGUGUGUGUGUGUGUGUGUGUGUGUGUGUGUGUGUGUGUGUCGUCAGCUGGUACUUUCGUGUCUGUGAUGGCGGUAAUAAGUGGAGUCUUCACUUCUAUAAUGAGCCACUUCGCUGUUUCUUAUUUUAGUCUUUCAUUUUCUUGAACUGAGAGACUUUUCCGUAAUCAUUCUGUUGAGAUUUCCCUUUUGUAACCUUAACAACGAUCGUAGUUUCUUGACCCUAACGUAACAAAAAAUAACACUCGGGCAAUUAUAUUUUUUUCCUGUUUGUCUUGUUUUAAUUUCGUCUGUUUUAAUAAUGACUUCUUCACCGCCUUCGUCAUCAGUGCUAUGUCUCUUGUGGCUUAUGAAGAACGAUUACGUGUAUUUAUAUAUAGGCUCUCGCUGCAAUGCAUAACCCAAGGCAUAAGUUUGCAUUUCUAACGUCAAUUUUGUGUUGGUAAUACUUGCCGAUGACAACCUAUGUAUAUACUUAGUCGACGGUUUGUGGUUCGCCUCAGCGGUCAUCGCGGUUUCCUUCUCGCCGUGUGUAAGCAAGUCAUCGCUUCGUCUCGCCUCGUCUACAAGUUUACAGAGGAGAAAAUGGCUAAGGAUGAUGGAAUGUAGCUUCUCACUCGCUGUAACACAUGGACUGACUUCAAACUAGGGGUGAUAGAUGGAGUGACUCAAAAUUAAAGAUGAGUGAGUGUAAAUUCUUCUAAACUCGCUGUAUAAGAGAUGAAUUUAAGGCUGAGUGUGAAUCGUUGUAAAUUUUUCUGAACUCGUUGUAUAAGAGAUGAAUUUAAGGCUGAGUGUGAAUCGUUCUCACUCGCUGUAGGUAUGUUGAGUGUCACCAGAUUGCCCUUUUAACUUGCGACGUAUUUGGAGCGUUCAUCAGUUCAGGAGAGCACUUGCAUAUAUAAAUCAGGUCGGAAAAUCGUGCUAGAAUGACCAAGACUUUUAAAUUGCAUCCACUUUCUUAAGACACCACCAGGGACAAAAAAAAAAAAGAA
Molecule: long non-coding RNA, 3198 nt
Organism: Eriocheir sinensis (Chinese mitten crab)
Lineage: Eukaryota; Metazoa; Arthropoda; Malacostraca; Decapoda; Varunidae
Exons: 2
Source: RefSeq, a predicted model, not a curated record